Molecule: ribosomal RNA, 443 nt
Filed under: uncultured bacterium
Lineage: Bacteria
Description: partial 16S ribosomal RNA
Rfam family: Bacterial small subunit ribosomal RNA
Source: RNAcentral
CCUACGGGAGGCAGCAGUGGGGAAUAUUGGACAAUGGGGGGAACCCUGAUCCAGCGACGCCGCGUGAGUGAAGAAGUAUCUCGGUAUGUAAAGCUCUAUCAGCAGGGAAGAAAGAAAUGACGGUACCUGACUAAGAAGCCCCGGCUAACUACGGGCCAGCAGCCGCGGUAAUACGGAGGGGGCAAGCGUUAUCCGGAUUUGCUGGGUGUAAAGGGAGCGUAGACGGCUGGGCAAGUCUGAAGUGAAAGGCGGGGGGCCAACCCCCGGACGGCUUUGGAAACUGUAUAGCUAGAGUGCAGGAGAGGUAAGUGGAAUUCCUAGGGUAGCGGUGAAAUGCGUAGAUAUUAGGAAGAACACCAGUGGCGAAGGCGGCUUACUGGACUGUAACUGACGUUGAGGCUCGAAAGCGUGGGGAGCAAACAGGAUUAGAUACCCUUGUAGUC